CUGCAUGAAGCUGGAAUCGCUAGUAAUCGUAGAUCAGAAUGCUGCGGUGAAUACGUUCCCGGGUCUUGUACACACCGCCCGUCACACCAUGGGAGUUGGAAAUGCCCGAAGUCAGUGACCGAACCGAAAGGAAGGAGCUGCCGAAGGUGGAGCCGAUGACUGGGUGAAGUCGUAACAAGGUAUC
This 184-nucleotide ribosomal RNA is filed under the name uncultured bacterium. Its description in RNAcentral is "partial 16S ribosomal RNA". It matches the Rfam family "Bacterial small subunit ribosomal RNA", at positions 1316 to 1500 of the family's 1533-position model. The record is from RNAcentral.